Tympanuchus pallidicinctus (lesser prairie-chicken) is the source of this 1198-nucleotide long non-coding RNA. RefSeq lists it as uncharacterized. Lineage: Eukaryota; Metazoa; Chordata; Aves; Galliformes; Phasianidae. The transcript has 2 exons. The record is from RefSeq and is a predicted model, not a curated record.
ACCCAGGCAACUAGAAGCAGUUGGUUCUUCUCACUCUCAUUUAAGGGUCUGAAUUUCAAAUUUAAGGGUUAGCAGCUAAGGGAGUAGAAUCUCUCUUAGGAGACUUCAGAAAAGAAAAUGAAUCAACAGUAUGAAGUUCUCAAAGCCAACUUCAAAGUAACUUCUGUUUGAAAACUUCUAGAGAUGCAUCCAUCCCAUCCAUUUCUUUGUUGGCUAGUCAUGUGCCAGAUGUUCAGCUGCAUGAAGAAUGAACCUUUUCGCCUGAAAAAGCCAGAUGAUCUUUCUUCCUUUUAUUUUGCUUUCCCAUGACCACUGUCUGUUUUUCCUUUCUCAUUCUGCUGGUUUUAUUGAUGCCUGGUAAUCUGCAUGAAUUUCCCUAUUUUGUUUCUAGCUUCACACACUGGAAACAUCCCUGCAUUGGACAGUUUAAAUCCUUCUGGAAAUAUAUAUUCUCAACAGUAUUGCCUCAAACUUUCAAUGGAAUAUACUAUAUGAAGAAAUAUGAGUGACUAUGAUUUAAAACCAUUUGUCUAAACAAAAUCAAAGUGAGUUUUCAAUUGAAGUUUCCAUAGAUUUUCUUGCAAAUACUAUUUAGCUCCUGUGUAACAAUUAGUUCACUCUAUGACAAAAUAUCUCUAGCCGACUGCUGAAAGCUACCUUGUAUUUAUACUUAAUGAACAUUUACAAUGAACAAGGCAAUCUACAGAGCCCCAGGAUGAGCUCAUUCUCAGUAUGAGGUGUGGUCAACAUGAUGGGGCAAUGUGCAGAAUAUUCUAAGUUAAAGAGACCAUUUCAUUGUUCCUUGAAAUUCAGAGUUUCUAGUCAAUAUAUCCUAGUGUGUUGAAAAACUACCAUGUUUCUAAGCAGCACUGUGAGCAUCCCAAAAGAAGUACAACUUUGCCUGGACCUGCCGAGAUGUCUACAUUCCACAUACAUCCUUAAAGUGAAUGGGAUUUGCCAUUUUACCUAGAUUCAUCAGUCAAAGACAUAUCACUACAGUAAUAAUAAUCCAAAUCAAGCAAGGUGCUUGCUGGACCUUACUGUCACUUAGUGAUUUAUGAUACAGCACAUGAAAGCUUAAAGGUAAACCUUAUUGUGAAUCUCAAUGAUUUAGUGUAUAAUACAGAACUCUUAGUGUGUAAUUCUGUUGUAAAUUUGCAUUGAUUUACUGUGCAAUAUAUAGAAACUAAUGGUGUAG